AGACGUCUACAUUAGAUACCCCCGUAGUCCCAGCCGUAAACUAUGCGCGUUAGGUGUAUCGGUGACCACGAGUCACCGAGGUGCCGAAGGGAAACCGUGAAACGUGCCGCCUGGGAAGUACGGUCGCAAGGCUGAAACUUAAAGGAAUUGGCGGGGAGCACCACAACAGGUGGAGCCUGCGGUUUAAUUGGACUCAACGCCGGGAAGCUCACCGGAUAGGACAGCAGAAUGAUUGCCGGGCUGAAGACUCUGCAUGACUAGCUG
RNAcentral lists this ribosomal RNA (264 nucleotides) under uncultured archaeon. Its description in RNAcentral is "partial 16S ribosomal RNA". It matches the Rfam family "Archaeal small subunit ribosomal RNA", at positions 714 to 982 of the family's 1478-position model. The record is from RNAcentral.